This 245-nucleotide ribosomal RNA is filed under the name uncultured prokaryote. RNAcentral's name for it is "partial 16S ribosomal RNA". It matches the Rfam family "Bacterial small subunit ribosomal RNA", at positions 524 to 768 of the family's 1533-position model. The record is from RNAcentral.
UACGGAGGAUGCGAGCGUUAUCCGGAUUUAUUGGGUUUAAAGGGUGCGUAGGCGGCCGAGUAAGUCAGCGGUGAAAUUUUGCAGCUUAACUGUAACAGUGCCGUUGAUACUGCAUGGCUAGGAUUUGGUUGCUGUGGGUGGAAUGUGUGGUGUAGCGGUGAAAUGCAUAGAUAUCACACAGAAUAUCGAUUGCGAAGGCAGCUCACAAAGCCAAGAUUGACGCUGAGGCACGAAAGUGUGGGGAU